RNA transcript from Halichondria panicea, 1808 nucleotides. It is a transcript of the gene named T-complex protein 1 subunit beta-like, with no coding region annotated. The record is from RefSeq and is a predicted model, not a curated record. NCBI's taxonomy places the organism in Eukaryota, Metazoa, Porifera, Demospongiae, Suberitida, Halichondriidae. The transcript is spliced from 9 exons.
AGGCUAAGCCUGCUAUCAAGUCUUGUUCAUGUUUGGCAAGAAUGUAGGUAGACUAUAGUUUCAUCAUUAAUAUGGUGGAUCAAGUGAAGAGUGUGAGGUAGAGAACUUGGUGCUGCCAUCAUCAGCUCGUCGACAAUGACACUAUAACCGAGAAAUUUAAUAUGUUUAGAAGUGGCCAAAAUUAUUCAACUUGGUCCUAAUAAGAUCUGAUGAAUAUCGCUCGAACUACGCUGAGCUCUAAACUGCUGACUCAGCACAAGAACCAUUUUGCCAAACUCGCUGUACAGGCCGUGUUACGCUUGAAAGGUUCCGGCAAUUUAGAGGCCAUUCAGAUAAUCAAGAAACUAGGUGGAGAAAUGAGCGACUCAUACCUAGAGGAAGGAUUUCUACUAGAGAAGAAGAUUGGUGUGAACCAGCCUAAGAGACUGGAGAAAGCUCGCAUCCUCAUCGCCAACACUGCCAUGGAUACUGACAAGAUCAAGGUGUUUGGGUCCAAAGUACGUGUGGACUCCACUGCCAAAGUAGCUGAGCUGGAAAUGGCCGAAAAAGAGAAAAUGAAGGAUAAGGUUGAUCUCAUUCUCAAGCACAACAUCAACUGCUUCAUUAACAGGCAGCUCAUCUACAACUAUCCCGAGCAGCUGUUUUCCGAUGUGGGAGUCAUGGCAAUAGAGCACGCUGACUUUGAGGGCAUAGAGCGAUUGGCGCUGGUAUUGGGCGGAGAGAUUGUAUCGACCUUUGGUGACCCCGAGAAGGUCAAGAUCGGAACAUGCGACGUUAUUGAAGAGAUUAUGAUCGGAGAGGACAUGCUGAUUCGCUUCUCUGGUGUGGCCCUCGGUGAGGCUUGCUCCAUCGUGAUUCGUGGAGCUACUCAGCAGAUCCUGGAUGAGUCAGAGCGCUCCCUCCACGAUGCUCUGUGUGUACUACAGGGGACGGCUCCUGAGUGACCGGCUGUGAAGGCACCAGCAGUUCCCCAUUCGCUGCUACAGAAGUUCUUAGUCUCGGUGUCAUAGGCGCUAGGCGCGAGUGACUCCCCCAAAUAAUGACUCCCGGUCACUCCUACCUAGUCACCAGUGACCCCCGGUCACUCAUGCCUAGGAAUAAAUAGCCUCGAUCCCAGGCCGAGUUUUCGCUUUUAUAACGGUUAGGCGAACAACUGGGCCUGGUACUAGUUGUCUGCGCAUGCGUCAGUCGUUCGUCAGAUUCUGACGAAUGGAUAUUCUCGUUCACUUUCGUGACAUUUAUAUUCGUGUACUAUCGUGUACUAGAAGUCAGUUCCCGUUUUAUCAUUAUUGGAAUCGAUUGGAAUGGCUCUUAGCUGAAGCUUCUCUCUUCUCUGAAGCUUAUUCUGAAGACUGAACAACAAGGGAAGAGGUAUAAAGCUUUGUCAAGCUUGUUAAGGAGCAAUGGCUAAUAUCCAGCUAUCCCAACAGUGCUCCUCUUGGCUAUACUAACGGACGAGACUGGACAGUUUGAGACACAGGACUGGAGUAUGACCUGCUCAUUCGAGCGUUGCUGGGUAGCUCAGAGACAUCAAGAGAAUCUACGUUUUCUCAAGCAAUGAGUUACGAGUUGGGGCCUAGAAUCAGAGAAGUCCAGCAGCCUGCUAAAUCUUUUUGAAACGUAAUUUGAAGGCAUUCAAUCAUCCUGAAGUUGCCCUGGGUCACUGUAAUUGUGCUGCAGCACAACUGGCAACUCCCCAGGCCUUUGUGAAGCAGCUCCCUAUGUGCAUCUUUUGUGUACUCACUCUGUGCAUUUUCUGUGUACAAAUUUCUAUUAUUGAUUUAUUAAAUAUUUUUGCCGACCACAAA